CCCGCUGCGCCGUCCGAUCCGUGAUCCGAGGUUGAUUGCCUCCCGUGUUAAUUCUUUGGUUGCCUCCGUCUCUUUCUCCUUUUCCCUCCAAUCUCCUCCAAAAGUCCAAAGCCGGUAAGCGCUUUGAUUGGACCCCAGGGAAGGAAGGAAUGCAUGCAUGCAGAGCCUGGUUGGUUGAUUGGGAUCCGAUUUUGCUUUGUGGUAUUUUUAACCGGAAUUAUUGGCCUUGACUUGGCUGCGUUGUGGAACGGAAAGUCAAAAGUUGUGUACGUACUGUUACAGUCUGAACCUCCAAUGCUGCUGGUGGCGACACUGACCGCGUGUUGUGUAGGGGGGAGGAUCGCCAGCAGCACCUGUCAAAGCCGGCAUCAAUCGUAGUACUACUUAAUAACUUUUCCGUAUCCGUCCGUUCACCAAGUUGAUAUCCGUUUCCCAAGUGUCCAAGUUAAUACUACUACUACUCCGUUUCAAAAAUAAUAAUAAAUAAAUUGAUAUUACUACCCACGCUGAAUCAUAUAUUUUUACUGUAGCAGCGCACGCGCAGGCAGUGAGCUCAGUCAUACGAGGAUUGCAAGCUUACAACUGAAGAACAAAGGCUAUAAAUAUGAACACAUCUGUCACCUGCUAGUGAACCGAGGUUUUGUGAAUAUAUUAGUAAAGGACAGCUUCACUCCGGUUUGACCCAAGUUAGGACUGAGCUAACCAUGUUAGCUUGUAAAAACGUCUUAAGGCGAAUGGAGUAGUUGGGAAUGACCGAAUGGAACCUUGGCUCAAGGUGGAAUCUGAGCUAAGCUGCCUCCUGUAUUUCAUCUCACCUCAUCGUGAUCGUGAUCCCCAAUCACCACCGUGCUUCGUGUCUUGAUUUCCGUGCAACGCGUUUAUCUUUCUCCCGGGACACACCCUGCGAGCAGAAGCAACAGUAAGAAAGAGAUUUGCCUUCAGAAAUGGACGUCACCCAUGACGAGGACAAUGGUGCAGGCAGGCUCGGAGUCUGUAGAGCAGCUGUGGAGAUCUCAAUGCGGCUGAACAAAAAAAGAGCAGCAGAAAUGGAUGCCACCAACCGACACCAACAACCCUAAUAAUCAUCUCCUCCAACAUCAGCAAGCAGAAACAGUGGUGGAGGAGAGACAUAGAGAGGAAGCACAGGCAUUGGUUUUAUGUGAGUUACUGUGCGGGGUUUGGCAUUUUGUGGUGUGCUCUGUGUGUUAUAGCCCUACACAAGUGCUUCCACCACCAUUUGCUCAUAUCUCCCUUUCAGUUAUAUAAAAGAAAUUUGACAGUGCACCCUCUGAACCUCAUGCACCUAACAACCUUGCAUAGUAGAGUUGCAACUUGCUAAAUUAUUUUUAUCAACGCAAAACCUAAUGAGCUCCAAUGAUGAUCAGAGAUAUGACAAGAAGCUUGUACCAAUGUGGCGUGAGCAAAACUGAGAUUUGACUCGUUGAUGUUUGUAUGCAACACCCUGCAGGCCCAAAGAUCAGACUGCAAGCAGAGAUUAGGUCACGAGUCGUCGUGGCCUGUAACAAAAGGCUAUAAAUAGAGCGGUCGCCUGCUGUUAGUCCCAGGGUUUGUACGUAAGAAAAGAAAAAACAGCUUGCUUGGGGUUUGUCCGAAGUUGGGCCUAAGUAAACAAAGUACAUGUGAAUGACCGAACGGAACCUUGGCUCACGGUAGAAUCUGAGCUGAGCCACCUCCUGUAUUUCAACUCAUCAUGAUCCACAAUCACUAUACAUUAUAUCUUGAUUGAUCCCUGCACCAAACCGUUUACCUUCUCGUCAAACACCUGCAACACUGGGGAACAGCUUUGUUUUCAGAAAAUGCAUGCCACCCACAAUGAAGAGUUGAAGACAAUUGAAGAAGACGGCACAGCGGCAGUGGAGAUGACAAUGCAAGUGGCUGAACGCAAGAAGAAAUGUAUGUCACCGAUCGGCACCCCUAAUCAUCUUCUCCAUCAUCAGCAAGCAGAAACAGGAGAGCCGGGGAGGGGAGCAUAGGCAUUGGCUUUAUGUGAGUUACUCUGUGAUGGGUUUUUGCAUCUAGUGGCGCAAGUCACUGUGCAACAAUAAUGUGUAAAGACGGUACUAUCGUUUGCUCAGCGGUCCCUUUUCAAACAUAAAAGAACUUGGCAGACAGUACACGCUCUGACCCUCAUGCACCAAACAGCCUUGCACACCAGAGUUGCAAUUUACAGAUUUUACCAAUGCAAACCUGGGAUCCAAUGAUGAGCAUGCAUCAAGGUGAUGUGAGCGAGCAUAAACUGAAAUUUGCCCUGCUGAGUUCUGCAGUCACAACACUGUCACGGCUUGAACGUGCUUCCAGAAAAUUGCAAUCCAAGCCUGGAACAAAAUGGUCGACCAAACCUCCGACAUCGCUGUCGUUAAGUCUGCACAGACCAAAUCCAAUUAAUGAGUUAAAUGGUCGAACAGAUGAUAAUUAAUUGCAGUGAAGAAAUAAGUAAACAGAGUGCAACACCGGAUCAUCGAAUGUGCUAGGCUAAGUAGAGCUACUGUCUUGAGUAUUGUUGUUCAGAUGGUAGACAGCCCCCAUUUUGAUGUAAGGAGACUGAGAAAAUACAGAGACCCAAUGCCAAACAAGAUACUUACAAAACAACUAAACACUUGCAGCAACAGGCUAUUAUCAGUAGCGGACAUGCUGAAUGUCGUUUUGGACUUUGCCAAUGCCAACAGCGGAGCCAGGUUAGCAACAGGAAAGCACACACCCAACACUGCGAUGCCUGAAGACUGCCCGUGUUUGCUCUUGCAGCUACAAGUCUAAAACAUCAAAUGUUGGUGAUUUAUCCUCCCGACAUGGUGCUUGACAGUUUGGCAGUUUGCAAUCAUGAGAAUGGAUGAAUUUAUCAAACCCUAAUACGUAUUUUCUACAAGAAAAAUGCUCGGAUUCAAGGUUACACACUGAAGGACACAAACAAGGAUUGAGGCAAGGAAGCAGGGUGUUUCUGAUUUAGACAAAAUAUUUUGUUCCUAGUCAUGUUUUUUUUUUGACGGGUCAACGGUGGGCUUACGCCAGCCUGAACUUAUAUUAUUCAAAACAUCACUUAAAAGGAGUAGCCAGAGUUACAAGGGGUUACGUGGGAUGAGAUUAUAUAAGAAUAUAAAUGUACCAGGGGAUUGCUAAUCGUUCAUGUUCCCUAUUACCUUAUAGCAGAAAUUUCUUCAGAACAUGUUUUGUGCUUACAGCCUGUUAUUUAGUUCAUGUCCCGAUGUUGCUGCAAUGCCGUCUUCUUGUAGUGCUUUUCAUAAGAAAGAUCUGGUGAUGUUUUUGAAUUCACAGGGAGAUCAUAACCAUUGCACUUUUAUCAGCUCACAUAAGCAGUUCCUAUCUGUUCUCGCAUCUCCUGAACAUAUAAUACAUGAUGAACUCUGCCAGACAACGACGCUGCUUAACUGGCCAGCCAGAUAUAUCCUGCCUUAUCUUGUUUUGAUUUCUGAAUAGUUGGUUAACUUAUGCUACCUUAGUUAAAUAGAAAAGGAAAUGAAGUUGUUCACAUAACCUACAUGAGUAACAAAAGUGCAAUGGUAAAUGUACAUAUAUUGUAUUGCUGAUUGAUUUAUGCAAUGACAAGCUCAUGCACAAUUCUUCACCGAAGCUAGAGAAACAAGACAUGUGUGACUAUGCAAGUAGUCAGCAAAACCACAUGUAACUUUACUUAGAACACAGUAUAGCAAGAAACGGCAGUAAGCAUGACAUGAGAGCAACAGUGCAUCAGAGUUAUUUGUCAUGCAUAAAUAAAACAACCUUUUAAAAUAACAAUUGGACAGUUGAAAAGACCACGAUGACGCCUAGGGGGGGGUGGGGGUGAAUAGGCUAUUUAAAAACUUCUUCAGAUUUGGCUUAAACCUAAUGCGGAAAUAAACUAAGAGGAUACUUUUCAAGCACAAAUCCUAAAUGCAAUAGGCACCGCAACGUGCACCAACAACACGAUCUACCAAGAUGGACACAACACGGUUACUAACAAGCACAAGUUACACAAACUUACUUGAGCUAUAUCACACGACGAGUAGGUGAACGACACAAGAUACUAGAUCACACUAUAGCACACGAUAUAUCAAAAGCUGCAAGUGUGAACGUGUGGAUAUAGAGGGUAUGCUUGAACGAUUAAUCUUGUACAAAGAAAUAGCCAACACAAUAUAAUGAGCAUAAACAAUAUGCAAUGUAUGUAUGCUCAAGUAACACAAGUAAACCACAAGUAAGGAGUUAAGGUUAGGGAUAACCAAGGUCACUGAGACAAAGAUGUAUCCCGAUGUUCACUUCCUUGGAGGGAAGCUAGUCACCGUUAGAGAGGUGGAUGUUACCACGAAGGCACACCAACGCCACGAAGGCUCACCCUAUUCUCCCUUUGAGAUAACACCACGAAGGCGUUUCUCAACCACUAGUGGUAAGCCUUUGAGGUGGCUUCCAAACCCUCACAAACUUUUCCGGGGGUAAUCACACGGAUUGAUUCCUCUCCGAAGAACUCCUACCGCCUAGGAGUCUCCAACCUCUAAGAGUAACAAGAUCACGGGGAAUGCUCAAAACUUGCUCAAAUCUCAAAUAGCUUGGGUUGAGAGGAGAAGAGGGAGACGAUCUAUCUUUUGAUUGGAACAACUCUCAAAGGGGCUCACAAAUGCUCUUGGGAUCUAAGAUUUGGUGUGAGCAAAUGUGUGUGAGGUAGAAAUGUGUUCUUAUGAAGAUAUGGCUGUGUUGGACCCAGGGGGGUAUAUAUAGUGGGGAGACUAAAGUAACCGUUGGGGUCACUUAAGUCUGACAGUGGUCGGACGNNNNNNNNNNNNNNNNNNNNNNNNNNNNNNNNNNNNNNNNNNNNNNNNNNNNNNNNNNNNNNNNNNNNNNNNNNNNNNNNNNNNNNNNNNNNNNNNNNNNNNNNNNNNNNNNNNNNNNNNNNNNNNNNNNNNNNNNNNNNNNNNNNNNNNNNNNNNNNNNNNNNNNNNNNNNNNNNNNNNNNNNNNNNNNNNNNNNNNNNNNNNNNNNNNNNNNNNNNNNNNNNNNNNNNNNNNNNNNNNNNNNNNNNNNNNNNNNNNNNNNNNNNNNNNNNNNNNNNNNNNNNNNNNNNNNNNNNNNNNNNNNNNNNNNNNNNNNNNNNNNNNNNNNNNNNNNNNNNNNNNNNNNNNNNNNNNNNNNNNNNNNNNNNNNNNNNNNNNNNNNGUCGGACGACUGAAGGAGUGUUCAUAUCAGUUGGCCACUGUGUAGUCGAACAGGGACCGGACGUCCGAAGAGAGGGUCGGAUGUCCGAGAGUUCAGCUCUGUUCAAGGGCACCGGAUUUCCAAAAGCGGUCGGACGUCCGGCCCUCGGACGACCGGGGGAGGCCGGAAGUCCGAGGUUUUUGACUCUGGUGCAAGGCUCCGGAUAUCCGAAAGGAGUCAGACGUCCGGUCCUCGGACGAACGGAGGAAGCCGGAUGUCCGAGCUUUUGACUCUGGUAUAAGGUUCCGGUUUUCCGAAGUGGUCGGGCGUUCGGCCCUCGGACGUCCGAAGGGAGCCGGAUGUCCGAGACUUUGACUCUGGUAUAAGGUUCCGGAUUUCCGAAGUGGUCGGGCGUCCGGCCCUCGGACGUCCGGAGGGAGCAGGAUGUCCGAGGCAUUGGUUCUGUUUUGGGAUCAAAGCAGAGCAGUGGAGAUGUGGCAUGAGCAGAGAAGUAGAGAUGUAGUUUGAGCAAAUUUAUCGCAAUACCCAAUGAUCCCCUCUUAAUAGUGCGGGAUCCCUAAAGACUCAAGAAUCAUAAAAAAGGGGUACCGAUGAUCUAUACUUGCGUGUAUACUUUUAUUCGCUGAUCAUCACUCCGCACCACUAACGUCAAAGGAACUGAUACCUUUGAGUUAGCCCUUUCACUUGAGCUUGGUGUUGUUGUUCCUUCUUGACUCAAGAUGAAAGCAAGACAUGAUGAAGUCUUCAAGAAGCUCUCCCAUACACAAUGUGGAAAGCCUAGCUUGUGUAUUCAUCUUCAUCUGUCCACCAUGUGAGCAUCCACAAGAUUCAAGCAUGUAGUACUCACGAAUGCUUAUCUUGAUCUUGUCCUUGUUAGCACAUGAGCUUGUCCUUAUCAACACAUGAUCAUAACAACAGCUUAAAAGGGGAUUAGUGAUUAGUUAUCUAUAUGUGUGUUGUCAGCAACACCAAAACACGAUUAAGGGCAUGACUGCACUUUCAACAGUACCGUAAAUUUGUCUCCGGGCUAUAUAUAUAGUAAUACAGACACUCAUAAGUCGGGGUCAUCUGAAAAUCCUAAUCCUAGGCUCCUAACCUCCUAGGGGAUAAAGUAACACACAUUAUCUAUUUGCAAGUACUAACAAUUUGAUGGGAUGUAACACACCGAUCAAUUAGAUUUAUAUCUAGAUUCCAUCAUUCCGAAGUAAUUAAGCACCUACAGUGUUUGGCAGGGUCGCAGGGAUAGAACAAGUAGGCUGCAAAAAACAGUAACUGAGGGCAGGAUAAAGCAGUUUGUGAGCCAGAGCGUGUUUGCAGGCCAAAUCAACCAAAAUUUCCCAAUAAGGGACGAAAUUAGUGGCGGUAGUAGACUUGUAGUGAUUUGGUUUACUGGAUGGAGUUUCUCUAAUGAUAUUCCAGUUUGGCAUUUUUAUGCUUGAACUUCUGGUCGAUGCUUCUUGUCCAUAGUUAACCCCCUGUACAGGCGCAAGUGUUGUAUCUGUGUGACUGUGUCUGUUGGUUGUUAUUUACCCAGAUUGGAGGUUGUUAACUCUAGCAUUGUGAAGAAGAAAAAGAUUGCAUAAGCUCGGGGUAGGUGGAAGAACGAAAAGAACUAAUACUAGCACAACCGUAUUUCUAGGUGAACUGACCUUCAAUUGCCCUAAACUGCCCAUGAAUGAUUUUUAUUAAUAAAUAACAACAAGGAACAAACUAUUAAUCAUCGGAUGGUAGAAUACUAGUAAAGGGAAACAUAUUUCCCCCUUGUACACAGUUAGGUUUUUAUCCUUAAAGGAAAUUGUGUUGUAAAGUAAGAAGGAUAUUUUAAUUUUAUCCUUUAAGAUAAUUCUUAACAAAUGCAGGCAGGAUUUUGACAGUUUAUUUAUAAGGAAAUAACAAUACAUGUCCUUCGAAAGGUGUACAUAAUUGCAGUCCCCUAGUUUGUAAACUUGCAAAGUAUUUGAAAAUCCUUGGUCAUUUAACCAACUGUGAAUGUGGACAUUCCACUAAAAAGACUAGUUGGCAGCAUCUUGUUAGAGAUUUACCUGCCUGACUGCAUUUCUGACCAAGAAUACAUGGAAGUUGUCUGUAAGCUCCUGAAUAGUUUAGGACAACCUCCAGUGCAAAAGCAGUGGUGUCCAUCUUUGUUGAACUUCCAUCAGAUUCCAGAUAAAGAAAUUGCUUAGUGCUGCUUCAGAGAGAAGUAGCACUAACAUGUUCCAACGAUCUUACGGGGAAGUAAUUAGAAGAAUUAGUCAUGUCUUGUGUUAAUUACACAUAUUGAUCACUACUGCAUGUCUGCAUCACACACUUAGAUGUUGUUGCCUAUUUGGACAGGCACACAUGUCCAUAAUGGUGUGUUGUCUAGUCUUCAGUUUGAAACUUGGGUUAAGACUGAAACAAAAGAGGGAAAGUAUAGCUGCUUAAGCAUCUAUUGUUUGGACAAAUAGGCAGCAACUUGUUAGAGAUUUACCUGUCCGGCUGCAUAUAUGACCAAGAAUAGAUGGCUGUGGUUGUUAAACUCCAGAAUAGUUUAGGAUAACCUCGAGUGCAGAUUCAGCAGUCCAAGGACUUCCCUCACAUUUCCCCGUAUUUAGCGUUUCUCUAGGCUUGUCUGCCUGUACAAAAGCAGAUGGGGUCACUUUAUUGAGCUUCCACUAGAUCUCAGACAAGGAAAUUGGUUAUCGAUGCUUCAGCUUCAUGGAGAAGCAGGAAUAACAUAUUCUUUUCUUGUGGGGAAGGAAUAACAUGUUCUAACGAUCUUGCAUGGAAAAACACUGCGUGAAUUGCAACAAUUAGCGGCGUAAAACAUCUACUGUGUUAGUUUACACGCAUCGAUCAUCACUGCAUCACGUACUUAGACGCGCAGCUGCAUAUUUGAGCCUUGUUUCCUUGGAUAAAGCAUCUCUCUUCUACACAACCCGAACACGGGGGAUUGAUUCGGAAAAUACUUUUAACUGAAAGGGGGUUUUCCUGUCUUCCGUAACUGGACCUCCUUCUUAAUUUUUAACCUUUCGAUUUCUAUGUUUUGAGGAUAGUAGACUGGCAGAGAUGGACUAGUUUAUCACUCCAGCAUACGUGCCACAUGUGGCAUGGCGUGCUGCCUGGUGUUCAGUUUAGAAACUUGGCAAAGACUUGAAAAGAAAAAGGGGGGAAACGUAUCUGCGUAGUCGCUUACGCAUCUCUGAUGUCUGGACAAUUCCAGGGGAGCUAGAAACUAAUGGCGCCGGGAUACUGCUAUGUCUGUGGUCAGUGGACGAUGGACGAGGCGGUCCGUUCCACGGGCCGUGGCAGACGGUCGGGCCACGGCGGCGCCAGAAACAGGCAAGAUCACGGAGCCAGCCAGCCAACAGAUCGACCAACAAACCGACGAGCGCAAAACCAACGGCGCUUCCGUGCGCGCGACAGAUCCGCCGCGAAGCGAGGGGCGGCGGACCGUGGCGGUAACCAGUAAGGACUAAGGUCAACCGAGCCGGACAAGAACCGCCGAGAUCGGUCGUUGCCACCAACCUCGCGCGGGAUCCGGGCCGCCUGGAGCCGGAGCCGCCGCCACCGCUCCGACAACAGCCAUGGGCUCGCGGCGGUCAGGCGCUCCCUCUUCCUUUCCCCAUCCCGGCCCUGGCCAGCUUUGGAGCUUUCCCGGGUCGUUUUCCGGGCGGAUCUCCCCGUGCCGGCGCCGAUCGGGAACCGGAUCCUAACCGCCCCGGCGUGUGGAUGACGGGAGCUCGGAUUCGCGCGCCGCACGCACGUACGGGGGCAGUGACAAAGAUGGCACGCACGCACGCGAGGACGGACGUCGCGCUGGUGGUGGCCGUGCCACGACGGGGUGGGGUGGGGGGGGGUGGGUGGACGGUUGGGAGGGGCUCCCGUCAACGCGAUUUGAAAAAUCAAUGCUCCGACGGUUUCCCUCAAAAAAUCGGCUCUGCUGGUUUACAUGAACCGGACACCCUCCUUUUUUUUCUUCUAAGAAGAACGUGUGUGUCAAAGUUGGGAACUCAAAAUCCACAAGUUGCAGGGUCAGCGAAAAUAUGCUUCAGCGAGCCAAGGCUUUGGGAACAUGUGAACGGUGCGAGAUGUGUCCAAUUGUACUCCCUUCGUUCCUAAAUAUAAGUCUUUAUAGAGAUUUCACUAGUGGACUACAUACGGAUGUAUAUAGACAUAUUUUAGAGUAUAGAUUCAAUCAUUUUGCUCCGUAUGUAGACCCUUAGUGAAAUCGUUUAAAAAACUUAUAUUUAGGAACGGAGGGAGUAUGUAUAGUAGGGGGACGAGCUGGCACAUUUGGUGUGCUUUUACUCGUAGAGGAAACACACAAUGGUCUCUUCGGCGGAAUCUUGUGUGUCACGCUCUAUCUUUGGGCGCAUCCAGAGAGCUUUCUAGUACAAGCAAUUCUGUUACUUUUACUUUUUUUUAUUUGGAUAUACAAGAAAAGUCAUCUAUGUCCUUGUAUCGCAUACACUACAUAUUGCUUGCCUUCUCGCUAGCUUGCUCUGGAAAUGCUAAUAGCAUGGCAUGAGAGAUUAAUUCGUCAUGUGCUUGAUUUGGUUUUUGGGAUGGCAACUACUUAUUUUUGGAAAAUGAUUUUUCAUCCGGUGCCUCCGACAACUCGAUUGACUAUACGUGUCUCCUACACGACACAACAUUUAUCAUUUGAUUGCCAGAUUAUACUACGUUGUAAAAUAAUUUUUUGAUGAAGUAUUAGGUGUAGCAAAGUUGUCGAAAAAUAUGUACUAUUUUAAUGAGAAAAGGCUUUGAGAAAAUGACGACUAUGUGAUAUAUCCCUUGUUGUAUGCAUUGUAUGUGAAGGAAACCUACGAAGGUCUUUCAUGUAUAUCCUUGUGUGUCAGACUCUAUCCUUGACACAUAUGAAUAGUCUGCCAGCGAGGAGCCUACCCUUUAAAUUCACGAAUUUGUUUUUCUCGGUACUAAGCUUCAGGAUGAUUGUUAGGCCCAACCCAGAAAAAGUGGACCAGGCAGCCCAUCUAAGAAAAUCCAGCGACCAUCCAUCAAGAAGCGCACCAACAGCUAGCCAACACGCACAAACAACUGCUAACACACCUAGUUGUCGGAUACCACCUCCCACUACUACAGGAAAGUCCUAAGAUGACACAUGUAUAUGAGACCUUUUUACCGGACUCUAUGCGAUGCAUGAAUCACAAACAAUAUAGUUCAAGGCCCGUCGUCAAUAAAACGAACAGCGUGCGAUGAUUGAUCCAUCAAGCAUAAUUCAGAUAAGACUUGUGUGUGCAGCAUACAGUUGGUCCUCAUGAACUGUUUGCAGUUAACCAAAAUAACACAAACGGUUAACCAGAUAAAGAUGUGUGCGAUAGACAGUAUACAUGUCAUUCGAAUGAACUGUUUGCGAUGAGCCGAAAUAGCAUGACGAUUCGGUAAACAGGUCGCUUGGACGAGCUGUUUGCGAUGAUGAAAAGUAACACAGAUGAUUCGGUGUAACAAAAUGUGUGUGAUACCCGACAAACAGCUCAGUAAACGAAAUUGUGUGGGAAGAUAGAUAAAAAUACAUAUGAUUCCUGAUAAUAAGUUUUGUGUGCUGUGGGCAAACACUUGCUCACACCCAAUUAUUCGUUAUUCCUGAAAUCAUCAUCGAUGUGUUCCUUUGUUUAAUCGUAAGCGAUGUGAUUUGCUUUGCCUGCAUAAGAGCUAUGCUCUGUGUGCAGAACAACAAUGUAUAUACUUAUAACAACAUGAUUGCAUAACCAAAAUUAACAUUCAAUUACAUUAGUGACUAGAGAUAACAUUUGCACACCUCAGUUAGCAAGUAGAUGCACACAAACUAGUAGUAAUGAUCAUCAAUUCAUCUACUUGUGACGAGGGGUGCCGGUCGGCGCAGGACGGAGGCACUUCCUCAUGUUAAUGAUCCGUCUGCAAAGCUCGUAGCUUACGUACGCGUUCUUGGCCGCGUACUUGAUGUGAUCUUUAUCUAGUCUUUGGACCCAUGCGCGGUGCCAGGCAAGCUUCUUCUUCUUGCAGACAUCCUUUAUGCCUUUGUAGUAGGGGUCGAUGAUGGCCAAUGCGAGUUCAACCAGGGAGCCCUUCUGCUUCUUCUCGCUGCCCAAGACCCCGUACUGGCCUUGGAUGUUGACAAGAUUCCAGCAGGCCAAGCCUGUGGUCUUGAGCACAUUUUCGUCGUUGGCGGUGUCUAUCAUACCGAAUAUGUAGUCGGAGUUAUUGACAAACCUAACGAAACGCUCGCAAUGCCUUAUGGCUAGGUAGUAGUGGUAGACGAGGACGUGAUGGUGCAUGCAUAACUAGGCGACGACAAUCUUUUGAUCAUACCCGGCACGACCACCGGUGUACUCGAGAUUCAAGCCAACAACUUUAUUCUUGUCCUUGGCAAGCAACUGCUCCUUGGUGUGGAUGGAGUUCUCCACCCAGAUGGGUUAGUUAGUGUACAACACCAAGAGGUCCUUUGAAUCUUACGUGGGUGUCCACAUAGGCAUGAAUGGUGAACUGUCGUUCAUCGUCGGCAGUUGCAGGGAGCGCCGCCAUUGGAGCCUAGCAGGAUGUCCUCUCGUUAUUUGGCGUUGCGUGUGUGCUUCUUGCGUUGUGGGGAAAGGUUGAACAGAGACAAGAGGUUAAAUGACCAGUGAAUUAAAUGGGGGUUGGACGGACUGUAAUCAGUAUGUUUUGUUACUACGUUCCACGCGGAUGAUUGAAGUGCAAACUUGACCAGCACGCACACCCGUUUCAUUUGACCACACACCGGCUCCAAGACCCUCCAACGUAUCGUUGGUCAACCCAUUCCCACGCAACCGUGCGGGUUUUCACGCGCAACCGCGCAAAGCUUCCACGCCCGGCUCGUUUGGCCAUGCGAUGGCUGGAAGACACUCUCAUUAUUGUGGGCGCUAAAUGGCAAAUGGUUGGCAAAAACAAAGUGUGUGCAAUAACUUAAAGCAGCAUAGACGUUCAACACUAAGCGACAUGUGUGAUGAGGUGAAAAUUUCACAAACAGGUAAUGAGUGGCAGUCAUGUGCGCUAAUUGGAAUCACCAUUGUCGGUUCCAUCAUAUAGAUCGUUUACUAUGAGAUCGACGGGGAAACACAAGCUAGAAUGGUAAUUAAAUCAAGUCGAUUACAUGUUAAGGUUCGGAUAUCAAUCGUCCAUUGCAUAUUAAAGUCAAAAUAGUACUACCAAAAUACGAGUAUCAUACGAUGCCAGUUCACUGAUUGUAUCACAAAUGACACAAAUGUGACAAGUCUUACAUUCAAUGUUCACAAGAUUCAAACACAUAUUGAAAAUGAAAUUCAGCUUAUGCAGAACCUUUUUCAUGCAGUUGUAGUCGCCCACGCUGAUCAGCUGAAAAUGAACACGUGAAAGGUCCAAAAUAAUAUUUACAACUAGUCUCGUCACUCAUAAGUCAUGUAGGGGAUUUACAUACCGACUUCCUAUUGCUUUGUCACCUGAACUUCCAAAAUGCACCUCAGCUUCUGCAAAGCCUUUUUCAUUCUACUGAAGACACCGACAGCAAACGAUUCAUUUUUGCGCACUAAAUGUAUGCCCAACCACAUUGCCUUUAUCACAUUUUCUUUCGCAACAAAGAACCUGGUGAAUUUAAUCUCCGGUAAGGUCCCUCGAUAGGAGUUCAAAGUAAUUUCGAAGAUAUGGAAAUAAAGGCAUUCAAUGGGAAUGCCAUAAUAUUGCAUCACAUUAUCCGCUGCUUGGCCUAAUCGGAUCCGCAAAAAGAUAAUAUAACGUGUUAGUGUCUAGAUGGAGUCUUGAACACUAUGAGAAUCUUGAUUUGCAAUAUUUCUAAAAUAAACGAGUAGAGUGGCAUGCCAUCUUUGAUCCAACGUGAUUAACAUGGCUUUUGAUUACAAUCUAGAAAAAUGUGGAAUUCUUCAUAAGAGGUUGUAGUGGAUAAAAACUUUGCAAUAAAAACUAUUACAAAUGAAUACAAAGGAGAAAUGCCUAUGGAGUGUAAUCAUACGAAUCAAGCAACCACUAUAAAAACAUAUAAAUAUAUUGAAAUCCUUCAAAGUUUCCUUUAGAAGUUGUAGUACAUUUGUCAUUGUAAACUAGGGAAAAUUUACCAAAAAUUGAGAUCUGUUGUGGCUAACAUUUAACAUGAAAGGAACAUCACCUCAAUAUUUAGCUUCUCCACGCACGGAAAGCAUUUUAGGAAUCUAGCAACUUGAUCCAGGCCGGGGCCGAUGGAUUAUAGUGCCAAGACCUCCACUAUGCCAAGACGGAAUUAUUUUUUGGACGACAGACGAAUAUACAUGUUAUAAAUUAGGAAAAAAUAAUUUUAAGAAGGAGGAUAACAAGAACACUGGUGUACCUGAAUGAUUAUUUAUUCAAUAACAAGUUAAGAGAGUUUGACACAUGAGUAGCCCAACACUGUCAAUUUUGGUGCAUAAAUAACACUGAUUCUUUUGGACCUUGUUUAUCAACUACAACCAAUCUCUCAAGUAAAGGUGCAUCCUUAGUGACCAUAUCAUGAUACACCUUAACUAAUCUCCUCUUGCAGCACCAGCAACACAUAAAUUGUCUGGAGAUUCAUGGAGGUGAUUGAUACGUCUCCAACGUAUCUAUAAUUUGUGAUGGUUUCAUGCUAUUAUAUUGUCAAACUUUGGACGUUUUGUAUGCCUUUUAUAUCUUUUUUGGGACUAACUUAUUAAGUCAGUGCCAAGUGCCAGUUCCUGUUUUUUCCUUGUUUUUGACCCUUUUCAGAGGAGAAUUUUAAAAGGAGUCCAAAUGGAAUAAAAUCUGCGGAAUGAUUUUUUCCAUAACAUAAGACACGCGGGAGACUUGAGAACCAAGGCAGGAGACCUCGGAGGAGGUCACAAGCCCACCAGGCCCGGCCUAGGUGGGCGGGCCUAGCAGGCUUGUGAGCUCCCCGUGGCUCCCCUGCCCUAGGUCUUCCGCCUAUAUAUUCCCUAAAAUCCCAGAAAAAAUCAAGAGAUCAUCGAAAGUACUUUUCCGCUGCCGCAAGCUUUUGUCUCUGCAAGAUCCCAUCUGGGGCACGUUCUAGUGCCCUGCCGGAGGGGGGAUUCGGAUAAGGAGGGCUUCUUCAUCAACACCAUGACCUCUCCGAUGAUGCGUGAGUAGUUCACCAUAGACCUACGGGUCCAUAGCUAGUAGCUAGAUGGCUUCUUAUCUCUCUUGGAUCUUCAAUACAAAGUUCUCCAUGAUCUUCAUGAAGAUCUAUCCGAUGUAAUCUUGUUUUGUGGUGUGUUUGUCGAGAUCCGAUGAAUUGUGGAUUUAUGAUCAGAUUAUCUAUGAAUCUUAUUUGAGUUUCUUCUGAUCUCUCUUAUGCAUGAUUUCAUAUCCUUGUAAUUCUCUUCGAAUUGUGGGUUUUGUUUGGCCAGCUUGAUCUAUGAUUCUUGCAAUGGGAGAAGUGCUUGGUUUUGGGUUCAUACCGUGCGGUGACCUCACCCAGUGACAGAAGGGGUAGAGAGGCACGUAUCGUGUUGUUGCCAUCAAGGGUAAAAGAGAUGGGGUUUUCAUCAUUGGUUUGAGAUUAUCCCUCUACAUCAUGUCAUCUUGCUUAAGGCGUUACUCUGUUCGUCAUGAACUCAAUGCACUAGAUGCAUGCUGGAUAGCGGUCGAUGUGUGGAGUAAUAGUAGUCGAUGCAGAAAGUAUCGAUCUACUUGUCUCGGACAUGAUGCAUAUAUGUAUGAUCAUUUCCUUACAUAUCGUCAUGACUUUGCGCGGUUCUAUCAAUUGCUCGACAGUAAUUUGUUCACCCACCGUAAUAUUUGCAAUUUUGAGAGAAGCCUCUAGUGAACACUAUAGCCCCCGGGUCUACUCCACACUAUAUUUUCAGCCUUACUCUUUUACUUCGUUGCACUUUCCGCCUUCAGAUCUCACUUUGCAAUCAAUCUUGAAGGGAUUGACAACCCCUUUAUAGCGUUGGGUGCAAGCUCUUUUGUGUUUAUGCAGGUACUCUGGACUUGACGAGAUUCUCCUACUGGAUUGAUACCUUGGUUCUCAACUGAGGGAAAUACUUACUGCUUCUGUGCUGCAUCACCCUUUCCUCUUCAAGGGAAAAACCUACGCAAGCAAGUCUCCGUCAACGUGUCAAUUUCUCGCGUUGUUGUUUGAGAAGUAGCAGAAGGAUUUCUGGCGCCGUUGUCGGGGAAGGAUUUUUGUUGCCGUAGCAGAAGAAUUUCUGGCGCCGUUGCCGGGGAGGAUCAAGUCAAGAACUCAUCCAAGUAAGUGUCCGCUACUGCGACAACAGACCUUCCCUGGUACGGCGCCAGGAAUCCUGCUGCUACGGCUACGCCUUUAGGGACUUCCUUGGCAAAUAUGCAAAUGAUUUCCCCACGGCCUUGGAGCCUUGCGUUGGUGUUCCCUUGAAGAGGAAAGGGUGAAGUAGCACAGCGGUGGUCAGUAUUUCCCUUAGUUUUAAGAACCAAGGUAUCGAACCAGUUGAAGAUCUCGUCAAGUCACAAGUACCUGCACAAACACAAAUAGCUUGCACCCAAUGCUAUGAAGGGGUUGUCAAUCCCUUAUAGAUUGUUUGCAAAGUGAGAACUGAAAGCAACAAAGUAAACAAGCAAAGAAAAAGUGAAAGUGGAAACGAUAGGUGUGAAUAGAUCCGGGGGUCGUAGUGUUCACUAGUGGCUUCUCUCAUGAAAGCAAGUAGACGGUGGGUGAACGAAUUACUGUCGAGCAAUGGAUAGAACCGCGCAAAGUCGUGACGUUAUCUAAGGCAAUGAUUAUAUCUAUAGGCAUCACGUUCAAAACAAGUAGACCGAUACUUUCUGCAUCUACUACUAUUACUCCACACGUCGACCGCUAUCCAGCAUGCAUCUGGUGUAUUAAGUCCAAAAGAANGAUGGCAACAACACGAUGCGUGCCUUGCUGCCCCUUCUGUCACUGGGAAAGGUCACCACACGGUAUGAACCCAAAACCAAGCACUUCUCCCAUUGCAAGAAUAAAGAUCUAGUUGGCCAAACAAAACCCAAGACUCGGAGACACUUACAAGGAUAUCAAAUCAUGCAUAUAAGAAAUCAGCAAAGACUCAGAUAUAAUUCAUAGAUAAUNNNNNNNNNNNNNNNNNNNNNNNNNNNNNNNNNNNNNNNNNNNNNNNNNNNNNNNNNNNNNNNNNNNNNNNNNNNNNNNNNNNNNNNNNNNNNNNNNNNNNNNNNNNNNNNNNNNNNNNNNNNNNNNNNNNNNNNNNNNNNNNNNNNNNNNNNNNNNNNNNNNNNNNNNNNNNNNNNNNNNNNNNNNNNNNNNNNNNNNNNNNNNNNNNNNNNNNNNNNNNNNNNNNNNNNNNNNNNNNNNNNNNNNNNNNNNNNNNNNNNNNNNNNNNNNNNNNNNNNNNNNNNNNNNNNNNNNNNNNNNNNNNNNNNNNNNNNNNNNNNNNNNNNNNNNNNNNNNNNNNNNNNNNNNNNNNNNNNNNNNNNNNNNNNNNNNNNNNNNNNNNNNNNNNNNNNNNNNNNNNNNNNNNNNNNNNNNNNNNNNNNNNNGGAGAACUUUGUAUUGAAGAUCCAAGAGAGAGAAUAAGCCAUCUAGCUACUAACUACGGACCCGUAGGUCUGAAGUGGACUACUCACGAGUCAUUGGAGAGGCGAUGAUGUUGAUGUAGAAGCCCUCAAACUCCAAAGUCCCCUCCGGCAGGGCACCGGGAAGGGUCUCCAGAUGAGAUCUCGCGGAAACGGAAGCUUGCGGCGGCGGAAAAGUGUUUUCGUGGAUGCCCUGAUUUUUUCAGGAUUUUUAGGGAAUUUAUAGGCCAAAGACCUAGGGCAGGGGAGCGUCAGGGGGGCCACAAGCUUGGUUGCCGUGGCCUCCCCCCUGGCCGCGGCAACAGGGCUUGUGGGCUCCCUGUGGGCCCACUGCCUUGGCCCUCAAGCCUCCCGAUCUUCUUCCGUUCUAGAAAAAUUUAUUUCGGGGAUUUUAUUCCGUUUGGACUCCGUGCUAAAUCAGAUCUGAAAAGAGUCAAAAACACAAAAAAAACA
This 17079-nucleotide long non-coding RNA is filed under the name Hordeum vulgare. Its description in RNAcentral is "long non-coding RNA (HVUL_LNC000345)". Lineage: Eukaryota; Viridiplantae; Streptophyta; Magnoliopsida; Poales; Poaceae. The record is from RNAcentral.